GACCGACACUGGUAGACGGGUAGAGAAUACCAAGGUGAACGGGAAAACCUUCGUUAAGGAAUUAGGCAAGAUAGCCCCGUAACUUCGGGAGAAGGGGUGCCCCUGAGGGUGAGCGCAAGCGUAGCCCAUGGGGGUCGCAGUGACCAGGCUCUAGUGACUGGUUAACAAAACCACAGGUCUCUGCAAAGCCGAAAGGCGAUGUAUAGGGGCUGACGCCUGCCCAGUGCCGGAAGGUUAAGGGGAGAGGUUAGCGCAAGCGAAGCUUUGAACCGAAGCCCCGGUGAACGGCGGCCGUAACUAUAACGGUCCUAAGGUAGCGAAAUUCCUUGUCGGGUAAGUUCCGACCCGCACGAACGGCGUAACAACUAGAGCACUGUCUCAACGAAGGACCCGGCGAAAUUGAAAUGGCUGUGAAGAUGCGGCCUACCCGCAGCAGGACAAAAAGACCCCGUGGAGCUUUACUGCAAUUUGGCAUUGUGUUUGGGUAUAGUUUGUGUAGGAUAGGUGGGAGGCUAUGAAGCUGAAGCGCUAGCUUCGGUGGAGCCGACGGUGAAAUACCACCCUGACGAUACUUAGACCCUAACGUUCGACCUUUAUCAGGCAAGCGGACCGUGCCAGAUGGGCAGUUUGACUGGGGCGGUCGCCUCCUAAAAGGUAACGGAGGCGCCCAAAGGUUCCCUCAGGCUGAAUGGAAACCAGCCGCAGAGUGCAAAGGCAUAAGGGAGCUUGACUGCAAGACCAACGCGUCGAGCAGAGUCGAAAGACGGGCUUAGUGAUCCCACGGUACUGAGUGGAAGGGCCGUGGCUUACCGGAUAAAAGCUACCCCGGGGAUAACAGGCUGGUGAAGUCCAAGAGUUCACAUCGACGACUUCGCUCGGCACCUCGAUGUCGGCUCAUCGCAUCCUGGGGCUGUACAAAGUCCCAAGGGUCGGGCUGUUCGCCCGUUAAAGCGGUACGCGAGCUGGGUUCAGACCGUCGUGAGACAGGUCGGUCUCUAUCCGCUGUGGGCGUAAGGGAUUUGAGAGGAGCUGCCCCUAGUACGAGAGGACCGGGGUGGACAGACCGCUGGUGUGUCAGUUGUCGUGCCAACGGCAUUGCUGAGUAGCUACGUCUGGCAGAGAUAACCGCUGAAAGCAUCUAAGUGGGAAACUCGCCUCAAGAUGAGAUCCCUGUAAUCCCGUAAGGGAGUAAGGACGCAGGAAGACUACCUGCUUGAUAGGCGGCGUGUGUAAGCGCAGUAAUGUGCUCAGCU
RNAcentral lists this ribosomal RNA (1253 nucleotides) under metagenome. RNAcentral's name for it is "bacterial LSU rRNA". It matches the Rfam family "Bacterial large subunit ribosomal RNA", at positions 1649 to 2892 of the family's 2925-position model. The record is from RNAcentral.